CCUACGGGCGGCAGCAGUGGGGAAUAUUGGACAAUGGGCGAAAGCCUGAUCCAGCCAUGCCGCGUGUGUGAAGAAGGCCUUCGGGUUGUAAAGCACUUUCAGUGGGGAAGAAAGCCUUGGGGCUAAUACCCUCGAGGAAGGACAUCACCCACAGAAGAAGCACCGGCUAACUCCGUGCCAGCAGCCGCGGUAAUACGGAGGGUGCGAGCGCUAAUCGGAAUUACUGGGCGUAAAGCGCGCGUAGGCGGUCUGAUAAGCCGGUUGUGAAAGCCCCGGGCUCAACCUGGGAACGGCAUCCGGAACUGUCAGGCUAGAGUGCAGGAGAGGAAGGUAGAAUUCCCGGUGUAGCGGUGAAAUGCGUAGAGAUCGGGAGGAAUACCAGUGGCGAAGGCGGCCUUCUGGACUGACACUGACGCUGAGGUGCGAAAGCGUGGGUAGCAAACAGGAUUAGAUACCCGGGUAGUC
This 465-nucleotide ribosomal RNA is filed under the name Vreelandella stevensii. Its description in RNAcentral is "partial 16S ribosomal RNA". It matches the Rfam family "Bacterial small subunit ribosomal RNA", at positions 338 to 795 of the family's 1533-position model. Lineage: Bacteria; Pseudomonadati; Pseudomonadota; Gammaproteobacteria; Oceanospirillales; Halomonadaceae. The record is from RNAcentral.